This 111-nucleotide microRNA precursor is filed under the name Caenorhabditis briggsae. Its description in RNAcentral is "miRNA-2223". Lineage: Eukaryota; Metazoa; Nematoda; Chromadorea; Rhabditida; Rhabditidae. The record is from RNAcentral.
AAUAUUUUCGGCAAUUUUUGUACUCAUGUAAGGUGACAAAGAUAGCAAAUUUGACCGUAUCCACGUCAAUUAUCAUGCAUCUUCAUCAGUGCAAGAAUGGCCUUUUUUGGA